Molecule: long non-coding RNA, 824 nt
Organism: Dunckerocampus dactyliophorus (ringed pipefish)
Lineage: Eukaryota; Metazoa; Chordata; Actinopteri; Syngnathiformes; Syngnathidae
Exons: 4
Source: RefSeq, a predicted model, not a curated record
CUGUGACAUAUUUCGCCUCCUCUACGCUUCUGCCUGGUGGAACUGGACUUUCAAGUCGGAGCAGGUGAUAAGAGGGAGCGAGUUGCCAGAAGUUGGUGUACAGGGAGGGAGAAGCAGCUUGUCCAGACUUGGCCCAGAUUGGGAGUCAGCCUGUUUGGGAGCUCUAGGAACUAUGAACGAGUGUAGACAGGACCCCAUCCAUUCUUGAAUAUACUGCAGCUUGAUGGAGCCUAUCCCGGCUGACUCAAGUUGAUCUGAGGCCAGAUUGAAUGGAUGGAGAGCUCAUGUAAGCACCUGCCCCCAGAAAGACCAUGUAGGUCACAUGACCAGAGGCACCACCACCACCACCGCCGCCGCCACCAGCAGCAGCAGCAGCAGCAGCAUGCGGCUUGUUUGCGGCCCGACUGGUCUGGCAACAUUGUGGCUUGUGACUGCACGGCGCCGGCAAAACCAGUCGGUUUGGAGAAAAGGGAAACCUGGGAAAGCGAGGGGCGGGACGGAGGAGAGGAAGUGACAAGGGAGGAAGCUGAGAAGCAGCUUCCUCUUGCCUCAACAGGAGGUCACGGCAGCUGUGUUCAGGCGCGUUUUUGGGGAUUGAUCGCAGGUUUGUGAGCUUUGUGACCCCUCGAAGAUGAAUUCCAAACAAACAAUCCGUCGUAAAUAACUACCACUUUUUAUGACAGUAAUAAAAAAAAAAAAAUGUCAGGCAAUCCCCCUCCCCCUCCCCCGACACACAAUGAGCACCAGGAAGAUAAUAUUCUCUCCUGCUAGCCAAUAGCUGACACCUGGAAGAUUUGCUUUCAGGCUCCACAACCCCAACCCCA